AUGGUCAGGGGAAGCACGCCGGCGGCGUCAGGUCCAUGGCCCCUUGCGAAGCUCAGCCUCCGGUUCUCGAUCCCUGCCGUGACCACCAUGGUCACCACCUGGAGCAGCAUCCCGGCCCCGAUCCGCUGCAGCAGCGUGAUCCCCCUCGGGUUCUUGGUGCGCCUCCGGACGGCGGGCACGAAGACGCGGUCGUAG
Molecule: ribosomal RNA, 195 nt
Filed under: Triticum aestivum (bread wheat)
Lineage: Eukaryota; Viridiplantae; Streptophyta; Magnoliopsida; Poales; Poaceae
Description: partial small subunit ribosomal RNA
Source: RNAcentral